Molecule: ribosomal RNA, 468 nt
Filed under: uncultured bacterium
Lineage: Bacteria
Description: partial 16S ribosomal RNA
Rfam family: Bacterial small subunit ribosomal RNA
Source: RNAcentral
GACGAACGCUGGCGGCGUGCUUAACACAUGCAAGUCGAACGGAAAGGCCCUGCUUUUGUGGGGUGCUCGAGUGGCGAACGGGUGAGUAACACGUGAGUAACCUGCCCUUGACUUUGGGAUAACUUCAGGAAACUGGGGCUAAUACCGGAUAGGAGCUCCUGCUGCAUGGUGGGGGUUGGAAAGUUUCGGCGGUUGGGGAUGGACUCGCGGCUUAUCAGCUUGUUGGUGGGGUAGUGGCUUACCAAGGCUUUGACGGGUAGCCGGCCUGAGAGGGUGACCGGCUGCAUUGGGACUGAGAUACGGCCCAGACUCCUACGGGAGGCAGCAGUGGGGAAUAUUGCACAAUGGGCGGAAGCCUGAUGCAGCAACGCCGCGUGCGGGAUGACGGCCUUCGGGUUGUAAACCGCUUUCGCCUGUGACGAAGCGUGAGUGACGGUAAUGGGUAAAGAAGCACCGGCUAACUACGUG